Molecule: ribosomal RNA, 253 nt
Filed under: uncultured bacterium
Lineage: Bacteria
Description: partial 16S ribosomal RNA
Rfam family: Bacterial small subunit ribosomal RNA
Source: RNAcentral
UACGGAGGGGGCAAGCGUUAUUCGGAAUCAUUGGGCGUAAAGGGCGCGUAGGCGGCCGAUCAAGUCGGAGGUGAAAUCCCUCGGCUCAACUGAGGAAUUGCCUUCGAUACUGUUCGGCUUGAGUCCUGGAGAGGGUAGCGGAAUUCCCGGUGUAGCGGUGAAAUGCGUAGAGACCGGGAAGAACACCAGUGGCGAAGGCGGCUACCUGGACAGGUACUGACGCUGAAGCGCGAAAGCUAGGGGAGCAAACAGG